RNAcentral lists this ribosomal RNA (102 nucleotides) under Carlito syrichta (Philippine tarsier). The record is from RNAcentral. Lineage: Eukaryota; Metazoa; Chordata; Mammalia; Primates; Tarsiidae.
GUCCACAACCAUACCAUCCUGAACGCUUCCUGUUUCAUCUGAUCUUGGAAGCUAGCAGGGUUGGACCUGGCUACUCCUUGGAUGAGAGAAACAUUAAAGACA